GGUUGGCGGGGUAAGAGCCCACCAAGGCGACGAUCAGUAGCCGGCCUGAGAGGGUGACCGGCCACACUGGAACUGAGACACGGUCCAGACUCCUACGGGAGGCAGCAGUGGGGAAUAUUGCACAAUGGAGGGAACUCUGAUGCAGCGACGCCGCGUGAGUGAAGAAGGUCUUCGGAUCGUAAAACUCUGUCCUUGGUGACGAAAAAAAUGACGGUAGCCAAGGAGGAAGCCCCGGCUAACUACGUGCCAGCAGCCGCGGUAAUACGUAGGGGGCGAGCGUUGUCCGGAUUUACUGGGCGUAAAGGGUGAGUAGGCGGUUAUAUAUGUCAGGUGUAAAAAGCUAUGGCUUAACCAUAGUAAGCACUUGAAACUGUAUGACUUGAGUGCAGGAGAGGUAAGCGGAAUUCCUAGUGUAGCGGUGAAAUGCGUAGAUAUUAGGAGGAACACCGGUGGCGAAGGCGGCUUACUGGACUGUAACUGACGCUGAGUCACGAAAGCGUGGGUAGCAAACAGGAUUAGAUACCCUGGUAGUCCACGCCGUAAACGAUGAGUGCUAGGUGUUGGGUAGCAAUGCUCAGUGCCGAAGUAAACAC
Molecule: ribosomal RNA, 593 nt
Filed under: uncultured bacterium
Lineage: Bacteria
Description: bacterial SSU rRNA
Rfam family: Bacterial small subunit ribosomal RNA
Source: RNAcentral